Molecule: microRNA, 22 nt
Filed under: Oreochromis niloticus (Nile tilapia)
Lineage: Eukaryota; Metazoa; Chordata; Actinopteri; Cichliformes; Cichlidae
Description: oni-miR-10811
Source: miRBase by way of RNAcentral
UUGUGAUUCUCACCUUGCACUC